AGCAGUGUGUCUCAAUAGAAAGAGUCUGGGCUUGGGAGUCAGAGGUCAUGGGUUCGAAUCCCGGCUCUGCCA
RNAcentral lists this transfer RNA (72 nucleotides) under Ornithorhynchus anatinus (platypus). It matches the Rfam family "tRNA". From Rfam's summary of the family: Transfer RNA (tRNA) molecules are approximately 80 nucleotides in length. Lineage: Eukaryota; Metazoa; Chordata; Mammalia; Monotremata; Ornithorhynchidae. The record is from Rfam by way of RNAcentral.